UACGGAGGGUGCAAGCGUUAUCCGGAUUCACUGGGUUUAAAGGGUGCGUAGGAGGGCAGGUAAGUCAGUGGUGAAAUCUCCGGGCUUAACUCGGAAACUGCCGUUGAUACUAUCUGUCUUGAAUAUCGUGGAGGCGAGUGGAAUAUGUCAUGUAGCGGUGAAAUGCUUAGAUAUGACAUAGAACACCAAUUGCGAAGGCAGCUCGCUACACGUAUAUUGACUCUGAGGCACGAAAGCGUGGGGAU
Molecule: ribosomal RNA, 245 nt
Filed under: uncultured bacterium
Lineage: Bacteria
Description: partial 16S ribosomal RNA
Rfam family: Bacterial small subunit ribosomal RNA
Source: RNAcentral